UACGUAGGUGGCAAGCGUUGUCCGGAUUUAUUGGGUUUAAAGGGUGCGUAGGCGGCCUUAUAAGUCAGUGCUGAAAUAUCCCAGCUUAACUGGGAGGGUGGCAUUGAUACUGCGGGGCUAGAGUACAGAUGAGGUAGGCGGAAUUGACGGUGUAGCGGUGAAAUGCUUAGAUAUCGUCAAGAACACCUAUAGCGAAGGCAGCUUACUAGGCUGUAACUGACGCUGAGGCACGAAAGUGUGGGGAUCAAACAGG
RNAcentral lists this ribosomal RNA (253 nucleotides) under uncultured bacterium. RNAcentral's name for it is "partial 16S ribosomal RNA". It matches the Rfam family "Bacterial small subunit ribosomal RNA", at positions 524 to 776 of the family's 1533-position model. The record is from RNAcentral.